This 447-nucleotide transfer-messenger RNA is filed under the name bacterium. It matches the Rfam family "transfer-messenger RNA". From Rfam's summary of the family: Bacterial tmRNA, also known as 10Sa RNA or SsrA, is named for its dual tRNA and mRNA-like properties. Its role is to liberate the mRNA from a stalled ribosome. The record is from RNAcentral.
GGGGAUGAAAUGAUUCGACAAGAAGGCACGUUAAAAACUGCAAGCCGGCUUUGAUUAACAGCCGUCCUGCAAAGCAGGAUCCCUUCGAAGCUUUAGCAAAGAGGGAUAAAACAUAAUCAAAAUUAAGUGCAUACAAUAAAGCACAAUCAUUCCUAGCAGAAAUGUCUGGAAUGAAUUUCAGACCUGCUUUAGCAUUAACUGCUUAAGCUUAGUCUGAAUGUCUAUGUUUUCUUUUCUCAACGAGAAAUAUAGGCAUAAACAAAGUUGAGAAAGGGGUAAGGAAGUAGGUUUUGUCCUUAUUCAAUUUUUAAACCUUAACUUUAUUCAGUCUUUUCGAUUAGAUAGGAUAAAGCGAAAUCCGCCAGUUGGCGGAAAUAAUCGAAUAAGCUUGUAGAUGUUUUUAAUGCAAAUUUUUGGACUCCGGGUCGCUCUCGGACAUCUCCACAC